AGCUUGCUCCCUGAAGUCAGCGGCGGACGGGUGAGUAACACGUGGGCAACCUGCCUGUAAGACUGGGAUAACUCCGGGAAACCGGGGCUAAUACCGGAUAAUUCUUUUCCUCUCAUGAGGAAAAGCUGAAAGAUGGUUUCGGCUAUCACUUACAGAUGGGCCCGCGGCGCAUUAGCUAGUUGGUGAGGUAACGGCUCACCAAGGCCACGAUGCGUAGCCGACCUGAGAGGGUGAUCGGCCACACUGGGACUGAGACA
This 257-nucleotide ribosomal RNA is filed under the name Bacillus sp. 7894-2. Its description in RNAcentral is "partial 16S ribosomal RNA". It matches the Rfam family "Bacterial small subunit ribosomal RNA", at positions 77 to 326 of the family's 1533-position model. The record is from RNAcentral. Lineage: Bacteria; Bacillati; Bacillota; Bacilli; Caryophanales; Bacillaceae.